AGAAUGGCUCAAUAUGCUGAAGAACUAUGGACUUUGCUCCAAAAAGACAACACCUUCAUCUACAUGUGUGGACUCAAGGGCAUGGAGCAGGGAAUUGAUGAAAUUAUGUCUUCACUUGCAGAAAGAGAUGGUAUUGUCUGGGCGGACUACAAGAAUGGCUCAAUAUGCUGAAGAACUAUGGACUUUGCUCCAAAAAGACAACACCUUCAUCUACAUGUGUGGACUCAAGGGCAUGGAGCAGGGAAUUGAUGAAAUUAUGUCUUCACUUGCAGAAAGAGAUGGUAUUGUCUGGGCGGACUACAAGAAGCAAUUGAAGAAGGCAGAGCAAUGGAAUGUUGAAGUUUACUAAAUAUUUUUACUUUUCUUUGUACAAAUAUGAGCCAACAUUAUGCUUCUCUCCCCCUGCAUCCAUGUAGAUAGGUAAAUUUUUCCUUUGAAAUUUUAAUUUCAUUUUUUGGGACUUCCCUUUUUAAAUCUAUGUGUAUCUUUUAAUGAAUCGGUGUAUUGGCAUUUGUCCCUCUAAAAAGUUGAAUUUUGAGGGCAUGGAUCAAUAACAUAUAGCUGAAUCAACCAAAAAUCACAAUAUCUUGUUCUUUUUUUCAUUUUCU
RNAcentral lists this unclassified non-coding RNA (608 nucleotides) under Hevea brasiliensis (rubber tree). Lineage: Eukaryota; Viridiplantae; Streptophyta; Magnoliopsida; Malpighiales; Euphorbiaceae. The record is from RNAcentral.